GACGAACGCUGGCGGCGUGCCUAAUACAUGCAAGUCGAACGCUUCUUUUUCCACCGGAGCUUGCUCCACCGGAAGAAGAGGAGUGGCGAACGGGUGAGUAACACGUGGGUAACCUGCCCAUCAGAAGGGGAUAACACUUGGAAAAAGGUGCUAAUACCGUAUAACAAUCGAAACCGCAUGGUUUUGAUUUGAAAGGCGCUUUCGGGUGUCGCUUAUGGAUGGACCCGCGGUGCAUUAGCUAGUUGGUGAGGUAACGGCUCACCAAGGCCACGAUGCAUAGCCGACCUGAGAGGGUGAUCGGCCACAUUGGGACUGAGACACGGCCCAAACUCCUACGGGAGGCAGCAGUAGGGAAUCUUCGGCAAUGGACGAAAGUCUGACCGAGCAACGCCGCGUGAGUGAAGAAGGUUUUCGGAUCGUAAAACUCUGUUGUUAGAGAAGAACAAGGAUGAGAGUAACUGUUCAUCCCUUGACGGUAUCUAACCAGAAAGCCACGGCUAACUACGUGCGAGCCGCCGCUGUAA
Molecule: ribosomal RNA, 524 nt
Filed under: uncultured bacterium
Lineage: Bacteria
Description: partial 16S ribosomal RNA
Rfam family: Bacterial small subunit ribosomal RNA
Source: RNAcentral